GAUGAACGCUGGCGGCGUGCUUAACACAUGCAAGUCGAACGGUGAAGCUCCAGCUUGCUGGAGUGGAUCAGUGGCGAACGGGUGAGUAACACGUGAGCAACCUGCCCCUGACUCUGGGAUAACAGCCGGAAACGGCUGCUAAUACCGGAUAUGCACCAUGAACGCAUGUUCUGUGGUGGGAAAGAUUUUUCGGUUGGGGAUGGGCUCGCGGCCUAUCAGCUUGUUGGUGAGGUAAUGGCUCACCAAGGCGUCGACGGGUAGCCGGCCUGAGAGGGUGACCGGCCACACUGGGUCUGAGACACGGCCCAGACUCCUACGGGAGGCAGCAGUGGGGAAUAUUGCACAAUGGGCGAAAGCCUGAUGCAGCAACGCCGCGUGAGGGAUGACGGCCUUCGGGUUGUAAACCUCUUUUAGCAGGGAAGAAGCGAGAGUGACGGUACCUGCAGAAAAAGCGCCGGCUAACUACGUG
RNAcentral lists this ribosomal RNA (469 nucleotides) under uncultured bacterium. RNAcentral's name for it is "partial 16S ribosomal RNA". It matches the Rfam family "Bacterial small subunit ribosomal RNA", at positions 28 to 507 of the family's 1533-position model. The record is from RNAcentral.